GAUGAACGCUGGCGGCGUGCUUAACACAUGCAAGUCGAACGAGAAAUGGAGACGGAAACCUUCGGGCGGAAGGCUUCAUUUCGAGUGGCGGACGGGUGAGUAACGCGUGGGUAACCUGCCUCAUACAGGGGGAUAACAGUUGGAAACGACUGUUAAUACCGCAUAAGGCCACAGCACCGCAUGGUGCGGGGGUAAAAACUCCGGUGGUAUGAGAUGGACCCGCGUUCGAUUAGCCAGUUGGCGGGGUAACGGCCCACCAAAGCGACGAUCGAUAGCCGAUCUGAGAGGAUGACCGGCCACAUUGGGACUGAGACACGGCCCAAACUCCUACGGGAGGCAGCAGUGGGGAAUAUUGCACAAUGGGGGAAACCCUGAUGCAGCGACGCCGCGUGAGUGAAGAAGUACUUCGGUAUGUAAAGCUCUAUCAGCAGGGAAGAAAAUGACGGUACCUGAGUAAGAAGCCCCGGCUAACUACGU
Molecule: ribosomal RNA, 477 nt
Filed under: uncultured bacterium
Lineage: Bacteria
Description: partial 16S ribosomal RNA
Rfam family: Bacterial small subunit ribosomal RNA
Source: RNAcentral